Molecule: ribosomal RNA, 823 nt
Filed under: uncultured bacterium
Lineage: Bacteria
Description: bacterial SSU rRNA
Rfam family: Bacterial small subunit ribosomal RNA
Source: RNAcentral
AACGAACGCUGGCGGCGUGCCUAACACAUGCAAGUCGAACGCGAAAGGGGGCAACCCCCGGUAGCGUGGCAGACGGGUGAGUAACACGUGGGUAACCUACCCGGAGGUGGGGGAUAACCCUUCGAAAGGAGGGCUAAUACCGCAUAAUACCGUGGGGACCUCGGUCCUUGCGAUCAAAGCUGGCCUCUGCUUACAAGCUAGCGCCACCGGAUGGGCCCGCGCCCCAUUAGCUAGUUGGUGAGGUAACGGCUCACCAAGGCGACGAUGGGUAGCCGGCCUGAGAGGGCGACCGGCCACACUGGAACUGAGACACGGUCCAGACUCCUACGGGAGGCAGCAGUGGGGAAUUUUGCGCAAUGGGCGAAAGCCUGACGCAGUGACGCCGUGUGGACGAUGAAGGCCUUCGGGUCGUAAAGUCCUGUCAAGUGGGAAGAAGUGUGUGGUAGUUAAUACCUGCCAUGCUUGACGGUACCACUAGAGGAAGCCCCGGCCAACUCCGUGCCAGCAGCCGCGGUAAUACGGGGGGGGCGAGCGUUGUUCGGAAUUAUUGGGCGUAAAGGGCACGUAGGCGGUCAAGCAAGUCAGGUGUGAAAGCCCUCGGCUCAACCGAGGAACUGCACCUGAAACUGCUAGACUAGAGUUCGGGAGAGGAGAGUGGAAUUCCCAGUGUAGCGGUGAAAUGCGUAGAUAUUGGGAGGAACACCGGUGGCGAAGGCGGCUCACUGGACCGGAACUGACGCUGAGGCGCGAAAGCGUGGGGAGCAAACGGGAUUAGAUACCCCGGUAGUCCACGCCGUAAACGAUGAGUGCUUGGUGUAGCGGG